AGCAGCCGCGGUAAUUCCAGCUCCAAUAGCGUAUAUUAAAGUUGUUGCAGUUAAAAAGCUCGUAGUUGAAUUUCGGGAUCAGUUGGUCGGUCGUGCCUCGGUACGUACUGGUCAAAUUGAUUCCUACCUUCUGACGAACCACGAUGUCAUUAAUUUGGUGUCGUGGGAAAUCAGGACUGUUACUUUGAAAAAUUAGAGUGUUUAAAGCAGGCUCGCGCUUGAAUACAUUAGCAUGGAAUAAUGAAAUAGGACGUUUGAUUCUAUUUUGUUGGUUUCUAGGAUCGACGUAAUGAUUAAUAGGGAUAGUUGGGGGCAUUAGUAUUCAAUUGUCAGAGGUGAAAUUCUUGGAUUUAUUGAAGACUAACUACUGCGAAAGCAUUUGCCAAGGAUGUUUUCAUUAAUCAAGAACGAAAGUUAGGGGAUCGAAGACGAUCAGAUACCGUCGUAGUCUUAACCAUAAACUAUGCCGACUAGGGAUCGGAUGAUGUUAAUUUUUAAUGUACUCAUUCGGCGCCUUAAC
This 520-nucleotide ribosomal RNA is filed under the name uncultured Glomus. Its description in RNAcentral is "SSU rRNA". It matches the Rfam family "Eukaryotic small subunit ribosomal RNA", at positions 569 to 1092 of the family's 1831-position model. The record is from RNAcentral. Lineage: Eukaryota; Fungi; Glomeromycota; Glomeromycetes; Glomerales; Glomeraceae.